AAGCAACUUAGAACAAAUCUCAAAGCAUACUCAGUUUGGACGCCCAGACAGAAAAAAGUAAAUUUAUAACAAAUAUCAAAACAUACUCCAACCUACUAUACUGGAUUGGACGUGGAAGAGAAAAAUACAAUCAGAAGCAUACACCAACUUGGACUCGGACAUGGAAAACAUACACCAACUUGGACUCGGACAUGGAACCAAUCGGGAACCAUACACCAACUCGGACUGGCAAAGGUUCUAUACUAAUAUAAAUACCCAGCUCUCAGAGAUUGAACGCCCAGAGAAAAAAGUGCCACCAGCUAAGUACACGCCAAGCAAUCUCCAAGCUACAGCGCCAACCAAAACAAAGGAGCAGUCAAGUAUGUUCCUUGUCUCCCGUUUUCGUUCUUCCCAAUGAAUUCUUGAAUCUCACACAUGGUAUUUGAUACUCAUCAGUCCUAAAAAAAAUGCAAAAAUCAACCAUGAGAUGUAGGAUCAAGAGAACAGAUUUUUACAUAAAUUUUCUUUUUCAUAACAAAAGCAAUAUUACCUAUGUUUGAUGUCCAGUAAAAAAAUACCAUGUUUCAUGCAUCUCACAUGCCAGGAUGCUCAUCCGAUACAUAUUGACUUCACAUUCCAGGCCAGUCUAGCAACAAAUUAUCUUGUAUUGCAUUACAAAAAAUUUCCUUCCAUCCUGCAGGAAAACAUUUGGACCAUAAUCUCAAAUCAUGGAUGCUAAGGAAAAAAAAGAAAGAGGGAUAGAGAGCGGUAUGAACACAUGACCGAUGAAGAAAGGCAUGAGAAACUCAAAAAACGCCGUGAAGCCUAUCAACGAAACAAAGUAUCAGGAAAGACACCAGAACAGACACCAGAACAGAAGGCGGCAAAAUGUGCACAAGAAAAAAAAAGAUAUGCAAAUAUGCAAAUAGAAAAGAAGAAAGCAAGAAUGGAACAAAUUGAAGCUCACCGUCAAUCGAAACGCAACACAUCAUCCAAAGAUUCAAUAGCAAUGGAGAACCCUGAAUAUGUCGUAACUGAACAGGAGGAGAGCACUUCUACAUUUACUGUAAAACACAGGGAUCAUGUGGCAGCGGGAGAAAGGCAAGCGUUGCUACACCGUCGUAACGAAGAAUUCACAAGAAGACAUAAGCAAGCUAUUUCUGUAUCAUCAAAAGAAGAUGAAUCCAUGACGGAAACCUGCAACGAAAACACUCAGCCUCUAGAGCAGCCACAAGUCAUGACUUACGGUAAUAAUCUCAAUUUUAUACUUGCAUUCCAAGUAAAUAUAAAUCUGUCUGUACAACUAACCAUCUAUUUUGGACAGACAUCCCCUCCUCAAUGUUUCCAAGCAUCAGAGAAACAGAUACACCAACACAAUCAUUAUACAAUGAUGAUCACAGUAAAGUAACUAUGUGGAAGGACAUCCCCUGC
RNAcentral lists this long non-coding RNA (1410 nucleotides) under Triticum aestivum (bread wheat). RNAcentral describes it as "long non-coding RNA (TAES_LNC020677)". Lineage: Eukaryota; Viridiplantae; Streptophyta; Magnoliopsida; Poales; Poaceae. The record is from RNAcentral.